This 464-nucleotide long non-coding RNA is filed under the name Ursus maritimus (polar bear). RNAcentral's name for it is "lncRNA (ENSUMAG00000019487.1)". The record is from RNAcentral. Lineage: Eukaryota; Metazoa; Chordata; Mammalia; Carnivora; Ursidae.
GGACAAUGUCAUUAGCUCAUCCCUGAUCAGGACCACUCUUGCCUAAGUGCAGCCCACUGGGGGACGUGCCACAACGGACACUGAGACCUUUCAGGGCUUACUGGGCUCCUGGCUUCUGCGGAGUGAAAUCCCAACAACCUUCCCCUGUCACCACCUUGGGUAAUGUGACUGUAGACUUUGGAUAAAUCUCUACCCCUCCCUCUUUGGCCUCUGGAAGGCCUCUGCACCUGCCCCCCAUGGAGCCACCCCACAGCCAUGACCUCCCUGCCUUGCUGUCUCCAUCACAGGGUGAUCGGGGCAUGAUGGGACCCCCAGGCGCACCCGGACCCAAGGGAUCAAUGGGUCAUCCUGGAACUCCCGGUGCCGUUGGGACCCCCGGAGAGCCCGGACCCCCGGGUCCUCCAGGAUCUCGAGGCCCACCAGGCAUGAGGGGAGCAAAGGGACGCCGGGUAAGUGGGGCCCAG